UGCCGACCCUCAGUAGGAG
Molecule: small nuclear RNA, 19 nt
Filed under: Arabidopsis thaliana (thale cress)
Lineage: Eukaryota; Viridiplantae; Streptophyta; Magnoliopsida; Brassicales; Brassicaceae
Description: snRNA_04129
Source: RNAcentral